Molecule: ribosomal RNA, 253 nt
Filed under: uncultured prokaryote
Description: partial 16S ribosomal RNA
Rfam family: Bacterial small subunit ribosomal RNA
Source: RNAcentral
UACGGAGGGAGCUAGCGUUGUUCGGAAUUACUGGGCGUAAAGCGCGCGUAGGCGGCUUUGUAAGUUAGAGGUGAAAGCCCGGGGCUCAACUCCGGAACUGCCUUUAAGACUGCAUCGCUUGAAUCCGGGAGAGGUGAGUGGAAUUCCGAGUGUAGAGGUGAAAUUCGUAGAUAUCGGGAGGAACACCAGAGGCGAAGGCGGGCUACUGGGCUGAUACUGACGCUGAUGCGCGAAAGCUAGGGGAGCAAACAGG